RNAcentral lists this long non-coding RNA (692 nucleotides) under Marmota monax (woodchuck). Lineage: Eukaryota; Metazoa; Chordata; Mammalia; Rodentia; Sciuridae. The record is from RNAcentral.
GUCCCAGGAGUUUGUCUCUGGCCUGGCCUCUUUCCUCCUGCUGCCACCACUCGCCUCGGGCGCUGGAACCGGAGGCUUUGGGCUUGGUCAGGAGCCACCACUUGGGUCUGGGGGGCGCCCUCGCCUUGGACAGCUCUCCCACCCCCGGGCUUCGUGCCCACGGUGCCAGCUCUGCCGUGAAUCUCCCCAGCCCGCCGCAGCGGCCUAUGCUCGACGUAGAUUUUUCUUGCCCCUUCGUAUUCGGGACCGACUGGGUUUCCCCCCCUUCUGCCUCCGGCUAGAUGGUCAGCUCGGGGCCAGCCGGGCAUUUCUACUCCCUCUCCUUAGCUAGGCGGUUCCUAGCCGUCUGACCUUUGCUCGGCUGCCGCAUUUUAUGCUGUGCAACUACCUUGCAGUUGCCUUUUCCUUCCCCUGCCUCGGCAGAACCCGAAACUCCUCGGCUACCCCGUGUCUCCCUAUCCCAGAACACAGAGCUGUGCCAGGCCCCAGGGCCCCCGGACCUCGCUAGGUCUGGUGGGGGCUGAAGGUGCGUUUACAUAACGCCGGUUGUGUGAGAGCUGGAGGAAGAGGUUGCGUGCGUAGGAGAGAUAAGGCUCCCACUUUCCCUCCUUCCUUCUUGGUGGUACCAGGCUUGACAUCACCCAGGAGAGAGAAUAGAGACGGUACGUUCUGAGAAAUUCCGAAUCGCCAAG